CAGAGUUCAUGCCCUCCAUGGGUAGAUCUCCCACCCUUGCGUAUUCAUACCUUUGUUGCUUUGGCAGGCCGCUGGGCCUUGGUCCAGCCACCGGCCGCGAGGCUGGCGUGCGCCUGCCAGAGGAUCUCCAAACUCUGGUUGUUAGUGUCGUCUGAGUAUCAUGCAAUUGUUA
This 172-nucleotide unclassified non-coding RNA is filed under the name uncultured Scytalidium. RNAcentral's name for it is "sequence contains ITS1". The record is from RNAcentral. Lineage: Eukaryota; Fungi; Ascomycota.